Molecule: long non-coding RNA, 2292 nt
Organism: Carassius auratus (goldfish)
Lineage: Eukaryota; Metazoa; Chordata; Actinopteri; Cypriniformes; Cyprinidae
Exons: 2
Source: RefSeq, a predicted model, not a curated record
UCCGGUUGUGCAGGAAUACCCUUCUCCCAUCUGUGGAUCAGACGUGCACUAUUGGCAGAACGGCCGCAUUGGGGACUUUGUGGUGAAGCAGCCCAUGGUUCUGGGGCACCUCAAAGAAGGAGACAAGGGUUGCCGUUGAGCCUGGAGUUACACGAGAAAUAGAUGAGUUCUUUAAAUCUGGACACUACAAUCUGUCUCCCAGCGUUUUCUUCUGUGCCACUACGCCAGACGAUGCAAACCUCUGCACAAACACAAUGCAAACUGCUGCUACCAGUCAGAUCACUAUUACUGGAUGAAAAAUAUAAUUGUGUGCCUUUUAAACAUAUAUGUGACUGUGUGUGUGCAGACUUCAUGAUAACUUGACCUAUGAGGAGGGAGCCCUGAUCUUACUCUUGUCAGUGGGCAUUCAUGCUUGCAGGAGUCAUUCUUUGAAGCUCAGUGUUUAUUUGUGGUGCAGGUCAGUCGUCUAUAAUGAUUACACAUGUUUGUGCAACUGUUACACAUUAACUAGCCAAUCAGUAUUAUGAUCUCUGACUUCAUGGCUGCAAUGGACAUGAAGUCAGAGAUCAUUACACUGAUUGGUUACUUAGUGUGUCAGGAUGGUAAAACAGUUGGUGCUUGCUAAUUUAAAAUCACUGAUAGUAUGCUUUAUUUGCAGAAUGUCAUCUCCGUAACAUGUCUUUUGGGAUGUGUGACUGCUGUAUAUAGCAAAAAAUAGACUGUAUAUGUGUUUGUUUUUAUUAACAUAGGACCAGUUGGGCUGGUAUUUAUUGGUGGCUAAAUCCACGGGUGCUUCACAAGUAAUAAGUCAUGCAUCCAGUGUUAUGUGAAAGGGAAUUAAUAUAUGUAUAAACUGAACUUUAUGUAUGUGUUUAUUUAUUUUAGAUCUAUACUCUGAUCUGCUUGCCAAGGCUAAAGAGAUGGGGGCAGACUUCCUGCUUCCAGUUUUGAUUUUUUAAAUAUUGUCCUCUUAUAAUAGCUUUUAGUUUUAGAGUUUACUAAUGUCAAUCUUGUUUAUAAACAGCUAAUCUUUACAAAUGAUAUCUCAUACUUGAAGUAACCUUAAAGCACAGUAUAUAGCUCUUUGACUAGGUUUAAUUAUGCUUAUCAUGUUUUUGUUUCCUUAUUUGAUUCUUCAGUGUUUAUGAAAAAGACUGUAGUGUAUUUUAAUAACCUCUAGGGGGAGCAGUGAUCUUCAAAAUUGGAGAAUGAUUGUUGCUCUCACACACACUCGUGAUGAAUAGCCUCUAUCUUGCUAUAAAGCUUGGCAAUGUCCCUCUAAUCUCUCCUAAGAUCAGAUAAAGCAGUUUCUUUAUUGGGUGUUUUUUUUCUUAUUCUUACCAUGACUAUGUCAGUCCGAGAAAUGUGAGCUGGCUGAACUGAUAUCCAACUGUGAGAUCAAAUCUGUGCUCGUUAGGUCCAUAAUAUGCGAUGAGGGAGCUAUUUUAAAGUUCUGGAAGCUGGCCACUGUUAGAAGCAGUUGGCAUAGAUUUUGACUCAAGCUUCCAGGUUGUAUGACCCACUCAGGCUUCAUGCAAUUCUUUAGUUCCCAAAAUAAAUCGCCAGGGAAUCAAAGGUAAAACAAUAUGAAGGGCUUAUAUUACACUUUAUUGUUAUUUUGCCAUAGUGUCAUUUUAAGAUGCAUGCAGACAGGUAUACAUGUUCAUGUAUUAUUGGCUGUUUCAUGUCUCUUUUUUUUUUUAUUACAAUUUUCAAAAGCUUUCUUACGCGGUGGUAAGGCUUUUGGUCACAGUGUCUUAUUUUCCUAAGGCCAAAGCCUCACAAAGAUACAAUGGGAAUGACAGUGAUUCCUACAUGGACACAGUACUAAACAAGGUAAACGUUUAUGUACAGACAUUCUAAUACUGCUUAAGGAAGUGGACACACUAUUAACAACACUAUUACAUUCACCACCGACUCAAAUGAGUUGCAGCUGGGCAUACACAAAAAAGCACACGUAAAAAAUAAACUUUUGUGUUUGAAACAAACUUCAUUUACAGCAUGGCAAGAGAAUGUUUUGAUUAUUACAGCAUGGGAGAAGUCCAGAAAUUGUUUACAUAUGGCAUUUUACAAAAGAUUCACUUGCUUGUAUGUAAAAAAAAAAAAAAAAGAAACUACUCUCAAAAUUUGCUCAGUCUUUAAUGCCCACUAGAUGACAUUUAUCCAUUAAUGAAGGCUGGCGAUGUGAAACGAUUCUCCUUUGUUGAUAAAGUCCCUGCUGAUACUAGUCAGUCUUUCAAAGUACGAUGAGUCUGGAGUAUGUAUUAUGUAUGUACUUAUUGAGCAUAUUUA